RNAcentral lists this transfer RNA (76 nucleotides) under Alphaproteobacteria bacterium. Its description in RNAcentral is "tRNA-Glu". It matches the Rfam family "tRNA". From Rfam's summary of the family: Transfer RNA (tRNA) molecules are approximately 80 nucleotides in length. Their secondary structure includes four short double-helical elements and three loops (D, anti-codon, and T loops). Lineage: Bacteria; Pseudomonadati; Pseudomonadota; Alphaproteobacteria. The record is from RNAcentral.
GUCCCCUUCGUCUAGAGGCCUAGGACGCCGCCCUCUCACGGCGGCAACACGGGUUCGAAUCCCGUAGGGGACGCCA